GCCUAGAUAGCUUAACAGGUUAGAGCACAGAACUGAAGUUUCUGAGGAAGAAGUUCGAGUCUUCUUCAAGGCA
RNAcentral lists this transfer RNA (73 nucleotides) under Trichosporon inkin. RNAcentral's name for it is "tRNA-Phe". It matches the Rfam family "tRNA". Rfam says of the family: Transfer RNA (tRNA) molecules are approximately 80 nucleotides in length. Their secondary structure includes four short double-helical elements and three loops (D, anti-codon, and T loops). Lineage: Eukaryota; Fungi; Basidiomycota; Tremellomycetes; Trichosporonales; Trichosporonaceae. The record is from RNAcentral.